Molecule: transfer RNA, 66 nt
Filed under: Cherax monticola
Lineage: Eukaryota; Metazoa; Arthropoda; Malacostraca; Decapoda; Parastacidae
Description: tRNA-Ile
Source: RNAcentral
AAGUAUGGUGCCUGACAAAAAGGUCAGUUUUGAUAGAACUGCUCAUGUAGUAUUACUACCCAUACU